AGCGGCGGACGGGUGAGUAAUGCCUAGGAAUCUGCCUGGUAGUGGGGGAUAACGCUCGGAAACGGACGCUAAUACCGCAUACGUCCUACGGGAGAAAGCAGGGGACCUUCGGGCCUUGCGCUAUCAGAUGAGCCUAGGUCGGAUUAGCUAGUUGGUGAGGUAAUGGCUCACCAAGGCGACGAUCCGUAACUGGUCUGAGAGGAUGAUCAGUCACACUGGAACUGAGACACGGUCCAGACUCCUACGGGAGGCAGCAGUGGGGAAUAUUGGACAAUGGGCGAAAGCCUGAUCCAGCCAUGCCGCGUGUGUGAAGAAGGUCUUCGGAUUGUAAAGCACUUUAAGUUGGGAGGAAGGGCAGUUACCUAAUACGUAUCUGUUUUGACGUUACCGACAGAAUAAGCACCGGCUAACUCUGUGCCAGCAGCCGCGGUAAUACAGAGGGUGCAAGCGUUAAUCGGAAUUACUGGGCGUAAAGCGCGCGUAGGUGGUUCGUUAAGUUGGAUGUGAAAUCCCCGGGCUCAACCUGGGAACUGCAUCCAAAACUGGCGAGCUAGAGUAUGGUAGAGGGUGGUGGAAUUUCCUGUGUAGCGGUGAAAUGCGUAGAUAUAGGAAGGAACACCAGUGGCGAAGGCGACCACCUGGACUGAUACUGACACUGAGGUGCGAAAGCGUGGGGAGCAAACAGGAUUAGAUA
This 694-nucleotide ribosomal RNA is filed under the name Pseudomonas syringae. RNAcentral's name for it is "bacterial SSU rRNA". It matches the Rfam family "Bacterial small subunit ribosomal RNA", at positions 94 to 784 of the family's 1533-position model. Lineage: Bacteria; Pseudomonadati; Pseudomonadota; Gammaproteobacteria; Pseudomonadales; Pseudomonadaceae. The record is from RNAcentral.